GAUGAACGCUGACGGCGUGCUUAACACAUGCAAGUCGAACGGAGUUUACAUGUGAGCGGAGGGUGCUUGCAUCUAACAAUCUUUUGUAAACUUAGUGGCGGACGGGUGAGUAACGCGUGGGUAACCUGCCCUAUACAGGGGGACAACAGUUGGAAACGACUGCUAAUACCGCAUAAGCGCACAGCAUCGCAUGAUGCAGUGUGAAAAACUCCGGUGGUAUAGGAUGGACCCGCGUCUGAUUAGCUAGUUGGUGAGGUAACGGCCCACCAAGGCAACGAUCGGUAGCCGGACUGAGAGGUUGAACGGCCACAUUGGGACUGAGACACGGCCCAG
Molecule: ribosomal RNA, 333 nt
Filed under: uncultured bacterium
Lineage: Bacteria
Description: bacterial SSU rRNA
Rfam family: Bacterial small subunit ribosomal RNA
Source: RNAcentral